UUUUUUUUCUUUUACAGUAGGAAGGAUUGCUCCCAUGGCCUCACACAUGCUAGACAUAAUUAUACCAACUACAGAAGAAUAUCCUGGCCCUUUUGUAAAUUUUAUUUUGAGACAGGGUCUGGUUAAGGGAUCCAGGGUGUCCUAGAAGUUUUAAUUUUUCUGCCACAUUUGUUAAAUAUUAUGAGAUUACCAGUAUGCUCCAGCACAUCCAGCUAUUUUUCUUCCUUCUAUUUAUAGUUGUUUUGUACUUGCAGUCAUGAAAAGGUGUUGUUGCCAGAUGGAUGCAACAAAAGGGUUUUUAAUUAGGAACAGAUACUGGAGGAGACACUCAGUAGACAGAGCAAGGGGAGUUACUGAAGUGAGAGUACACUGCUUUAGAAAGGGCCAGUGGGCUCAUCCAUGAGAAUGGGCGGCCCUGAGGCAAAGAAGGAGCUGGGAAGUUGGCUGUGAGAAAUAAAACACACCAGAUCUGGGAUGCUAAAGUUAGUGAUGGGAUAUGGAAUAUUGCUCCAUAAGAGCAAAGAAUGUUGAUA
RNAcentral lists this long non-coding RNA (533 nucleotides) under Marmota monax (woodchuck). Lineage: Eukaryota; Metazoa; Chordata; Mammalia; Rodentia; Sciuridae. The record is from RNAcentral.